RNAcentral lists this ribosomal RNA (300 nucleotides) under uncultured Colwelliaceae bacterium. Its description in RNAcentral is "bacterial SSU rRNA". It matches the Rfam family "Bacterial small subunit ribosomal RNA", at positions 115 to 412 of the family's 1533-position model. The record is from RNAcentral. Lineage: Bacteria; Pseudomonadati; Pseudomonadota; Gammaproteobacteria; Alteromonadales; Colwelliaceae.
GCUUGGGAAGUAUGCCUUGAGGUGGGGGACGAACAGUUGGAAACGACUGCUAAUACCGCAUAAUGUCUACGGACCAAAGUGGGGGACCUUCGGGCCUCACGCCUUUAGAUUAGCCCAAGUGAGAUUAGCUAGUUGGUGAGGUAAGAGCUCACCAAGGCGACGAUCUCUAGCUGGUUUGAGAGGAUGAUCAGCCACUACUGGGGACUGAGACACGGGCCCUAGACUCCUACGGGAGGCAGCAGUGGGGAAUAUUGCACAAUGGGGGAAACCCUGAUGCAGCCAUGCCGCGUGUGUGAAGAA